GAACUACCUCCCACAAUCAUUUGGUCAGAUUUCUUUGAUACUGGGCAGGACUCAUCUGUUAGCUUUCCCCACUAGGCUCCUCAACUUUGAGACUUCUAUGAUCAAAGGUUCUCUAAACAGGUUAGGGUUAGGCUUAUGAUUAGUGUUAGGUCUAGUGUUAGGGUUAGAGUUUGUCUUGUUCAAAUUUCUUUGAUACUGGGCAGGAUACAUUUUUUACCUAGCCUUACUAUGUUCCCCACGUUUUGGCCUUCUUGGUUGAAUUCUUUGCUGACAGGAAUUAUUUGUAUUUUAUGGAUUCACUUCAUCUUGUCCUACAUGGGUAAAUAGACAUGGAGCUGGAAAUCAAACAAGGUUGGUGCUAACUGCUUGAAACUUCACACACUCAAUCAGUUCUCUGUGAGCACUCUCUGGUUUGUUCCUUGUGAAAUUAGUAAUAAGCUGAAGCAUGCAAUGCAAAUUUAUCUGAGAACACUUUAGAAGAAAACAAGGAAAUAUGCAUGUACUGAAAGAGCUCCCCCAAUUAUUUUGUCAGAUUUCUUUGAAACUGCCCAUGAUUCAUCUGUAAGCUUGUCCCACUAGACUCCCCAAUUUCGAAACUUCUAUGAUCAAAUGUUCUCUAAACAGAUUAGGUUUAGGGUUAGACUUAGUAUUAGGACUGGCUUUAGACCUAGUGUUAGAGUUACAGUUAUUUUUAAAAAUUUUCUAUGAUACUGGGCAGGAUUCAACUUUUUCCUAUUUUUGUGAUAGUAGGAGCAAAUGUGACUCCAUUUUGUUUUAUGACUUCAUCCUGUAAAACAACCAUGCCAAGUAGAAGAGUCAUAACUGGGGCAAAAUGUUCUUUUUCUUUUGCUAUAGAAACCUUUACGAACACAAACCUACUUAAUGGGCUAUUGUUUCUGUAACUAG
RNAcentral lists this long non-coding RNA (906 nucleotides) under Marmota monax (woodchuck). Lineage: Eukaryota; Metazoa; Chordata; Mammalia; Rodentia; Sciuridae. The record is from RNAcentral.